This is a long non-coding RNA of Taeniopygia guttata (zebra finch), 4404 nucleotides long. The record is from Ensembl. Lineage: Eukaryota; Metazoa; Chordata; Aves; Passeriformes; Estrildidae.
GCAUUCUUGCUUUCCAUGUUUAGCUAAGCCAGGUCAUAAGCACAUGUUUAACUGUGAGGUUGUCUCUGCUGUUUGAAGAUAGUGCCUCUGAGAGGUACUGGUGACUGUUCUAGUGCAGAGGUCUCCAUUCCCACUGAUCAGCCAGCAGGUGGAAAAUGUGUUUACAUACACCAUUUACUUCUUUACAGAAUGAACUCGGUUAUCUCAAACCACUGCAGAAGGCAGUCUGAACUAGCCCAUGUGCAGUGGAGCAGCUCAAGGAGUGUCCACACAUCCCCUUCUGCUGGCAGAGAAGGAGCUGUGAACUUCAGACUUUGGCAUGCUGUCAUAAAUGGUUUGGCCAGACAUGGAAUGGGGCCAGCAGGGAAGAUGCUGCAUGAGGUGUGGGCUCAGCACUGGUCUCACCAGGGCUUGCAGGACCAAAGGACACCUCACAGGGAUUUGGUUAGAAGGUAUCCUUCUCAUUGGCUGCUUUGCUCUGUGGCUGGUCUCUUGUCUGACCUCUGUCCUGUGACUAGCCACAUGAGGCCUCAUGUGCUGAGAGGAAAGAAGGCUGAUGUCAGGCUGUGGUGGUGGUGGUAAAAUUAGGGUUAAAGUAGGUUUUCUUCCCCUGCCUCCAUGAGCUGUCCUGUGAUUACCCUUGGGGGAGCACCCCAGCUUCCCCAGCAGUUGGGACUCUUCCAAAGAGGGAGAAGGACAAAAAAAUCACCAAAAGAGAUUUUAGCAUGGCCUCUUAAACACAAGUAUUCUUGUCUGAGAUACUCUGAUAUCAUUAAAAUGAACAUGAUAUAAAUAAGUAGAUAUGGUAUCAGUGAUGUUGAAGUUCAUUGAAAUGUUUGGUUAAUAAUACCUGGAAAAAGGUGAAGCUCUGUCAGUGAACUGUGCCCUGUAUCAUGUGAUUAACCUGAAGCUGGACAGAUUUGUACCUUUUCCUGGCCACAGGACCACCAGGUACCACUACACCGAGCUGCAGUGUAUACACAUAAAUAAAAAGAAAGGUUGUGCCAAAAUUCUUUGAUGGAACAGUUUGCAUUAUUUAAUGCCAGUUUCUCCAAAUCAGAAAGAACUGAGCCAACUUACGGGACAAUGAAAAGCAACCCAUCUUCAGGACAUCUUGAGAAGGGUGGAGAUGAAGCAUAUUGCCAUGCAAAAUGUCCCAACGGAGACCAGCUUCUUGUUUGGAGCUGCAGGCUGUGAGGAGUGGUGCAUGACCAGGUCCCUGUGCCGUUGCCUUUGCCUACCUCCAGGAAAGUGUCUGGCUGUUGCUGACAAGGGAGAGCUGCGAGUAUCUGGGGUGACAGCUACUGCUACAGAAAAGGGGGAAAUUACCUCCCCUCACAUCAGCGGUUGCUGCCCUAUCUCUCCAGCCCCGCUGCAGGAGUGGCAAGCCCUAGAAAAGCUCUAAGAACCUCUGGUACCAGGUAAGCCAAGAUCCUCUGACUUUCAUACGUAGUACUCAAUGAGAAGCCUCAGAGCAUAAGCUAAUAGACAGCAGUUCUUUUAGUGAAACCUUUAUGUUAAUUCAAUACAGACUACUUAUGGAAUUUCCCUUCUCUGAGAAAAUCUCAACUUCUAUAGAGAACAGCACUCAGUCUUGUUCUUUUUCUUUUCAGAAUUUCAGAAGUUCCCUUGAAAAUUCCCCGAAGCCUUAAUAAUAAUGAUUCUCAGUUGCAUGUCAGGAUGUAAUGUACAAUGUAAAGUUUUCACAUUUGAUGCUCUGCAUAGUUAAAUUUACCACAGUGCUUCACAUUCAAUUUAUCCCAAGAAUUCAAGCAAAAUCACAUACUGUUCAACUAGAGAUUUAUCAUGGGGUGCUUAACAAUGAAUUAUUCAAGACUACCUAAUGUAUCGUGGUUUCUUGAGAGCCUAAUGUGUGUAUGUGUAUAUAUUUAUAUAUAAAAUACCUGUGAGCCAUUACAGAAAACCAGUUUCUGAACAAGGUUUCAAGACUAAAAUGAGAGGAUGUUUAAAAAUAGGUGUCCUCCUAAAAAUACAGCAGAGUUUAAGAGAGAAGAAAACCUCAAUAAUCUUCCCUGUUCAGGUAUACACAUAGUCAUUUAAAGAGGAUCUAUAUCCUGCAGGACUCCUUUUAGGUGAAAUUUUAAAAGUAUCUAAAUUCUGCAGUGAAGGUGGUGUUGUGUUUUUUUGGUUUUUUUUUUUUUUUCCCUCUGUGCAUAUUGAUGUGGUGUUUUAAAUCUCACUGAAAAGUUUUAAAGAAUUUCCCUCAUUUGCAGGUUUGAGAAGAUUACUCUGUGCCUCCUACUAGCAAUCAUCCACAGUACUUUUCCAAAAGUACUUUACUGAGUGGGUAAGCACUUCCUUUUUACUGAUGGAAAAACAGAAAAAGAUGAAGUGGUCUGCCCGGGAUAAACAGCUUGGUAUGCUGCCUUUUCAAAGCCCUUAGGAUUGCAUUUUUUUACCUGACCAGGGGGCAGCCUGCUGGAACGACAUUGAACUGGGCUCAAGGCAGCCCUUUGGCCCUUAGUUCUGCCCGCUGGAGGGGAACCAGCUGAGGAGAGGCCCCAGCUCACAGCUGCCUCUUUGGCUGCUUUUUCAGAUGGCCGUGGAAAUAGCCCCAAGGGGGCCAGAUUUUCAGUUCUUCGUUUUGUCCUCUGACCCAAACUGACUUUGCAAUGACUGGUUUCAUGUUCAAGGGAGCAUCAGCUGCCACCACAUGAUACACAUCCCUGAGGACCUGUCUCCUCUUUGACACCUCAUUGAGUCUUUCUUGUUAAGACAGUUGUGCUUGUCUGCAGGAAUAUAAUAAGGGCACUUAUUAUAUUCCUGUGCACACAGGUGUAAUGAGAGGGCUGAUUUUCACUGAUAGGUGGGAGGUGGUUUGACUACUUCUAUCAGAAGAAACUUUUCGUGCUGGCUGCAGGGGGUUUAAUAUGGUCUCAUUUCAACUUGUAGGCUGGAGCAUCUCUUUUGAACUUACUCAGGUCCUUGUGAAAAGAUGAGUAACCUAGAACUCCUUUGGCACCAGCAGCAGCUGUGAUGGCUCCUUUUUCCGAAGGCAUCUUGUGAGAAAGGGCCACUAUCUGACACUUUCUCCCUGAUGACUCUGGUGAUCACAAUCUGAGGCUUUCAGACAAUGAGUAGCAAAGAAGAAUCUAGAUGCUAAGUGUCCCAGAGCCUGCAGGACAGACUGUAAGGGAGAGCUGAGCAGAACAAGUAGAGGUUCAGACCCAGCUUCAGAGGUCGCAUGGUCCUGGGUUUGUGACUGGUCAGACUUGGUACACAAAUUUAUGUUUAUGGCACUUGUAGGAUCAUAUUCAAGCUGUUGCGCUUAGAGUAACAGCAACUCUGUUCUUUAGCAAGUCAGAGUCCCAAGUCUAAAAACCAGACAAAGGAAAAACAAGGGAGGGGGUGGAGGGCGGGACAGACAAGGGAGAAGACAAGCACUGUCUCUAACAAUAAAGAAUCAUCAUUUGCUUGUCCAAUAGGAGCAGCAGAACACAUUUCUCCUGAAGAUACUCUUCGCGGGUCUGAUUUUUCCAGGAAUCUCCAGUUCAGCAAAGAAUACUUUAUCUUACUCUAACCACCAGUUGCAAACUAGCCAGGGAUUUCACUUACAUUUGCCUCUCGUGUUGCCUCUGGGCAGGACACAGGACAGCUUACCCACGGCAGAGAACCUGCCACCACUGUAAGCUGGAAGUGUUCUCAAGGUAUAAUUUAAGUGAACUCAAGAGGAAAAAUAGCCCAGAGACAGCGCCUGUGGCCAAAAGCUCAGGCAGAAGUGGUGUCAUGUCAGUCCACAGCUAUGCAGCGAGCUACUCUGCAUCUUCCUGUCUUGGUUUCUCCCCUGUGAAAUGGGGAUUAAAAUACUCAUCUGUCUUACAAACAUGAUUAAAUGUAGGUUGAAAGAACUCUCUGUAAAAAACUUGAAAACUCUGAGAAUGGUGGUCCUGUUUGCUUUAAGGCAAGAUCUGGUCUGGACACUGAAUUCCAAAGGGCAAGACAUAGCAGGGCCAAGGUGCUCACAGCUGAGCACACAGACUGCCAGGGGAGUGCAGGCACGGGAGAACACGGAGGUGAUGCAAGAAAUAUUUAUUUGGGUUUGUUUGCUAAAGACAUCACGUACUGGCUUCAAAAGAAAAACCCGAUCGAAAAACCGAGUGGCAAUGAAAAGUUGCCAACACUGCUUUGUCGGGGAGUUUGGGUGACAAGAAUAAAAAAAAAAAAAAAAAAAAGGAAAGAAAAAAAAAGAAAAAAAAAAAGAAACGUCAAAUUCCCCUUCUCAGUAGCCAAAGCCCAGCCCGGUCCCCCUCGCCUUCUGGAGGGUGGCCCGGCGGUCCCCUACCCGUGGCGUGGGAGAAUGGGAGAAAGGAGGGCAGCCCCUGGCCGGGCAGGGUGACCCGGCACGGAGAGCGCACACACACACAGACACACGUGUGUGCUGUG